Molecule: transfer RNA, 58 nt
Filed under: Mus musculus (house mouse)
Lineage: Eukaryota; Metazoa; Chordata; Mammalia; Rodentia; Muridae
Rfam family: tRNA
About the family: Transfer RNA (tRNA) molecules are approximately 80 nucleotides in length. Their secondary structure includes four short double-helical elements and three loops (D, anti-codon, and T loops).
Source: Rfam by way of RNAcentral
UGGCUCAGUGGUUAAGAGCACUGACUGAUCUUCCAGAGGUCCUGGGUUCAAUUCCCAG